UGUGAGUCCUUUGAGGAAUUAGCUAGGUUGUCUCUUGGGUGAUUUUAAAGGAGCGAGAACAUUGCUUCAUUGCGGCGUAUGUCUAUAUACGCUUCAUUUGCAAUGACCUCACAACCUUUAAACUCACCUCAAGAUACUUCGCCAUUUGCUUUGUUCUUUAUGAUUUCAUAAUUUUAAAGUUUUAAAAUAAAGUGUGGAAUCUUAAAAAAAGAACUCCAAAAAAUUCUAGUAUUAUGCGUAAGAUUUGCGGUAAGAUUUAUGAGUUUUGUAGAAAAAACUGCGGAGACUAGCCUUAUGGCUAUCGCACAAGAUUUUUUCAAACUCCCGAAAGAUUGUGUAUAAGCUAAAUUUAGCCUGAUUUUUCAAAGGGAUUCACA
Molecule: ribosomal RNA, 377 nt
Filed under: Helicobacter muridarum
Lineage: Bacteria; Pseudomonadati; Campylobacterota; Epsilonproteobacteria; Campylobacterales; Helicobacteraceae
Source: RNAcentral